This 450-nucleotide ribosomal RNA is filed under the name uncultured bacterium. Its description in RNAcentral is "bacterial SSU rRNA". It matches the Rfam family "Bacterial small subunit ribosomal RNA", at positions 354 to 796 of the family's 1533-position model. The record is from RNAcentral.
GUGGGGAAUAUUGGGCAAUGGGCGAAAGCCUGAUCCAGCCAUGCCGCGUGUGUGAAGAAGGUCUUCGGAUUGUAAAGCACUUUAAGUUGGGAGGAAGGGCAGUAAGUUAAUACCUUGCUGUUUUGACGUUACCGACAGAAUAAGCACCGGCUAACUUCGUGCCAGCAGCCGCGGUAAUACGAAGGGUGCAAGCGUUAAUCGGAAUUACUGGGCGUAAAGCGCGCGUAGGUGGUUUUGUAAGUUGGAGGUGAAAUCCCCGGGCUCAACCUGGGAACUGCCUCCAAAACUGCAUGACUAGAGUACGGUAGAGGGUAGUGGAAUUUCCUGUGUAGCGGUGAAAUGCGUAGAUAUAGGAAGGAACACCAGUGGCGAAGGCGACUACCUGGACUGAUACUGACACUGAGGUGCGAAAGCGUGGGGAGCAAACAGGAUUAGAUACCCCGGUAGUCC